This 500-nucleotide ribosomal RNA is filed under the name uncultured bacterium. Its description in RNAcentral is "bacterial SSU rRNA". It matches the Rfam family "Bacterial small subunit ribosomal RNA", at positions 29 to 524 of the family's 1533-position model. The record is from RNAcentral.
AUUGAACGCUGGCGGAAUGCUUUACACAUGCAAGUCGAGCGGCAGCGCGGGGCAACCUGGUGGCGAGCGGCGAACGGGUGAGUAAUACAUCGGAACGUGCCCAGACGUGGGGGAUAACUACUCGAAAGAGUGGCUAAUACCGCAUACGAUCUAAGGAUGAAAGCGGGGGAUCGCAAGACCUCGCGCGUUUGGAGCGGCCGAUGGCAGACUAGGUAGUUGGUGGGGUAAAGGCUUACCAAGCCCGCGAUCUGUAGCUGGUCUGAGAGGAUGAUCAGCCACACUGGGACUGAGACACGGCCCAGACUCCUACGGGAGGCAGCAGUGGGGAAUUUUGGACAAUGGGCGAAAGCCUGAUCCAGCCAUUCCGCGUGCAGGAUGAAGGCCCUCGGGUUGUAAAGGACUUUUGUCAGGGAGCAAAACUUACUGGUUAAUACCCGGUGAGGCUGAGAGUACCUGAAGAAUAAGCACCGGCUAAACUACGUGCCAGCAGCCGCGGUAAU